CCUACGGGAGGCAGCAGUGAGGAAUAUUGGUCAAUGGCCGAGAGGCUGAACCAGCCAAGUCGCGUGAGGGAAGACGGCCCUACGGGUUGUAAACCUCUUUUGUCGGGGAGCAAAGCGAACCACGUGUGGUUCAUUGAGAGUACCCGAAGAAAAAGCAUCGGCUAACUCCGUGCCAGCAGCCGCGGUAAUACGGAGGAUGCGAGCGUUAUCAGGAUUUAUUGGGUUUAAGGGGUGCGCAGGCGGAGGUGCAAGUCCGCGGUCAAAUUGCGGGGCUCAACGCCGUACUGCCGUUGAAACGGCAUCCCUUGAGUGCGCGAGAAGUAUGCUGAAUGCGUGGUGUAGCGGUGAAAUGCAUAGAUAUCACGCAGAACUCCGAUUGCGAAGGCAGCAUACCGGCGCGCAACUGACGCUCAUGCACGAAAGCGUGGGUAUCGAACAGGAUUAGAUACCCCGGUAGUC
RNAcentral lists this ribosomal RNA (459 nucleotides) under uncultured bacterium. RNAcentral describes it as "partial 16S ribosomal RNA". It matches the Rfam family "Bacterial small subunit ribosomal RNA", at positions 338 to 795 of the family's 1533-position model. The record is from RNAcentral.